UACGGAGGGUGCAAGCGUUAUUCGGAAUUAUUGGGCGUAAAGGGCGCGUAGGCGGCUAGAUGUGUCAAAGGUGAAAUCCCUCGGCUCAACUGAGGAACUGCCUUUGAAACUGUCUGGCUUGAGGCCGGGAGAGGGUAGCGGAAUUCCCAGUGUAGCGGUGAAAUGCGUAGAUAUUGGGAGGAACACCAGUGGCGAAGGCGGCUACCUGGACCGGUUCUGACGCUGAGGCGCGAAAGCGUGGGUAGCAAACAGG
Molecule: ribosomal RNA, 253 nt
Filed under: uncultured bacterium
Lineage: Bacteria
Description: partial 16S ribosomal RNA
Rfam family: Bacterial small subunit ribosomal RNA
Source: RNAcentral